GAUGAAGAACGCAGCGAAAUGCGAUACGUAAUGUGAAUUGCAGAAUUCAGUGAAUCAUCGAAUCUUUGAACGCAUAUUGCGCUCUCUGGUAUUCCGGAGAGCAUGCUUGUUUGAGUAUCAGUAAACACCUCAACUUCCAUAUCUUUUUUGAAAUGGGAGUUGGACUUGAGUGAUCCCAACGCUUUUCCUCACCGAAAAGUGGCGGGUUACUUGAAAUGCAGGUGCAGCUGGACUUUUCUCUGAGCUAUAAGCAUAUCUAUUUAGUCUGCCUAAAAAACAGAUUAUUACCUUUGCUGCAGCUAACAUAAAGGAGAUUAGUUCUUGUGCUGACUGAUGCAGGAUUCACAAAGACGGCUUCGGCCGACUUUGUAAACUCGAUCUCAAAUCAAGUAAGACUACCCGCUGAACUUAAGCAUAUCAAUAAGGGGAGGA
This 432-nucleotide unclassified non-coding RNA is filed under the name soil metagenome. Its description in RNAcentral is "partial contains 5.8S ribosomal RNA, internal transcribed spacer 2, and large subunit ribosomal RNA". The stretch from base 1 to 120 matches the Rfam family "5.8S ribosomal RNA", at positions 35 to 154 of the family's 154-position model. The record is from RNAcentral.